Molecule: long non-coding RNA, 686 nt
Organism: Conger conger (European conger)
Lineage: Eukaryota; Metazoa; Chordata; Actinopteri; Anguilliformes; Congridae
Exons: 3
Source: RefSeq, a predicted model, not a curated record
UCCAAGUCAAUUGCUGCAAUUUGUCCCUAAGGACCAUCUUACCAAACUUGGGGUUCGUACAGGAUCAUGACUGAUCAAAAAGGGAGGACUAGUUGAGAUGGGAACACGAACUUCGCACUCAACGACUAUCAUUUCUGAUCUACUCAUUCAAGUGAGUGGAUCAUGCGGGGUUUUUUUUUUUUGCACGUGAAGGACGCCGAUCAUUAAACGAGGACAGCCGCUACAAUGAAGAGCUGGGCGACGAGGAAGGUUUUACCCUUGGUAUCCCUUGGUAUCCACCAUGGGACAAAGUCCAAGGAAUCUGAGCUGGAGACCAACACAGGAGCUCCUAUCCAGAAAAGAAGGCUGGGAGUAUUACUCAACUGACUCCAUGUUAUAGUCAUCUAUGUCGCCGUUGCUUACAGAUGAAAAUGUUGAAAUGUCCGUUGUUCAUUUGUUUCAUAUACGAUGUAAAAAUAAAGACACGUUUUGCAUGUAAGGUCAGUCCUACACACAUACACACAGCCCUCAGUGUGUGGUUUUAGUUGUGAUCAGUUGAAGACCACUCCUAGCCUUUUUUCGGGAUUAUAAGUUCCUCACGGAUGGAGUGACCUGUUUGUGCACCACACUUUAAGAGCUCCUAUGUUUAAAGAUGCACUCAUAGAAAUAAAAUAAAUAUUGUUUUUAAAACAAUUCUGUGUUCCAUA